UUGAGAUGUUUCUUAGCAAAAUUGAGACGAGCCCUAAUGUUCUUUUUGCUUAACAGUGGUUUGCGUCUUGGAAAUCUGCCAUGCAGGCCGUUUUUGCCCAGUCUCUUUCUUAUGGUGGAGUCGUGAACACUGACCUUAAUUGAGGCAAGUGAGGCCUGCAGUUCUUUAGACGUUGUCCUGGGGUCUUUUGUGACCUCUCGGAUGAGUCGUCUCUGCGCUCUUGGGGUAAUUUUGGUCGGCCGGCCACUCCUGGGAAGGUUCACCCCUGUUCCAUGUUUUUGCCAUUUGUGGAUAAUGGCUCUCACUGUGGUUCGCUGGAGUCCCAAAGUUUUAGAAAUGGCUUUAUAACCUUUACCAGACUGAUAGAUCUCAAUUACUUCUGUUCUCAUUUGUUCCUAAAUUUCUUUGGAUCUUGGCAUGAUGUCUAGCUUUUGAGGUGCUUUUGGUCUACUUCUCUGUGUCAGGCAGCUCCUAUUUAAGUGAUUUCUUGACUGAAACAGGUGUGGCAGUAAUCAGGCCUGGGGGUGGCUACGGAAAUUGAACUCAGGUGUGAUACACCACAGUUAGGUUAUUUUUUAACAAGGGGGCAAUUACUUUUUCACACAGGGCCAUGUAGGUCUGGAUUUUUUUUUCUCCCUAAAUAAUAAAAACCAUCAUUUAAAAACUGCAUUUUGUGUUUACUUGUGUUAUAUUUGACUAAUGGUUUAAUGUGUUUGAUGAUCAGAAACAUUUUGUGUGACAAACAUGCAAAAGAAUAAGAAAUCAGGAAGGGGGCAAAUAGUUUUUCACACCACUGUAUAUAUAUACACACACACACACACA
Molecule: long non-coding RNA, 822 nt
Organism: Erpetoichthys calabaricus (reedfish)
Lineage: Eukaryota; Metazoa; Chordata; Cladistia; Polypteriformes; Polypteridae
Exons: 2
Source: RefSeq, a predicted model, not a curated record